GAGUUUGAUCAUGGCUCAGGAUUAACGCUGGCGGUAUGCCUAACACAUGCAAGUCGAACGGAAUACUAAUUAAGAGAAUCUCACACUAGUGAGAGGUUCUCACGAGUAGUAUUUAGUGGCGGACGGGUGAGUAACACGUUGGAACCUGCCCCGAAGUGGGGAAUAACUGCUCGAAAGAGUAGCUAAUACCCCAUAGUAUCCGGUUUAUCCGGAUUAAAGAUUUAUCGCUUCGGGAGGGGCCUGCGUCUGAUUAGCUAGUUGGUGAGGUAAAAAGCUCACCAAGGCGACGAUCAGUAGCUGGUUCGAGAGGAUGACCAGCCACACUGGGACUGAGAUACGGCCCAGACUCCUACGGGAGGCAGCAGUGAGGAAUCUUCCACAAUGGGCGCAAGCCUGAUGGAGCAAUACCGCGUGCAGGAAGACGCUUUUCGGAGUGUAAACUGCUUUUGUCGUCGAAGAUUAUGACUGUAGACGAAGAAUAAGGACCGGCUAACUACGUG
RNAcentral lists this ribosomal RNA (500 nucleotides) under uncultured bacterium. RNAcentral's name for it is "bacterial SSU rRNA". It matches the Rfam family "Bacterial small subunit ribosomal RNA", at positions 9 to 507 of the family's 1533-position model. The record is from RNAcentral.